UAGAGUUUGAUCAUGGCUCAGAUUGAACGCUGGCGGCAGGCUUAACACAUGCAAGUCGAGCGGUAACAGAAAUAGCUUGCUAUUUGCUGACGAGCGGCGGACGGGUGAGUAAUGCUUGGGAAUAUGCCUUAUGGUGGGGGACAACAGUUGGAAACGACUGCUAAUACCGCAUAACGUCUACGGACCAAAGGGGGGGAUCUUCGGACCUCUCGCCAUUUGAUUAGCCCAAGUGAGAUUAGCUAGUUGGUAAGAUAAUGGCUUACCAAGGCGACGAUCUCUAGCUGGUUUGAGAGGAUGAUCAGCCACACUGGGACUGAGACACGGCCCAGACUCCUACGGGAGGCAGCAGUGGGGAAUAUUGCACAAUGGGGGAAACCCUGAUGCAGCCAUGCCGCGUGUGUGAAGAAGGCCUUCGGGUUGUAAAGCACUUUCAGUUGUGAGGAAAGGUGUGUAGUUAAUAGCUGCAUACUGUGACGUUAACAACAGAAGAAGCACCGGCUAACUUCGUGCCAGCAGCCGCGGUAAUACGAGGGGUGCAAGCGUUAAUCGGAAUUACUGGGCGUAAAGCGUUCGUAGGCGGUUGAAUAAGCAAGAUGUGAAAGCCCAGGGCUCAACCUUGGAACUGCAUUUUGAACUGUUUGACUAGAGUACUGUAGAGGGGGGUAGAAUUUCA
This 673-nucleotide ribosomal RNA is filed under the name uncultured Vibrionaceae bacterium. RNAcentral describes it as "bacterial SSU rRNA". It matches the Rfam family "Bacterial small subunit ribosomal RNA", at positions 1 to 671 of the family's 1533-position model. The record is from RNAcentral. Lineage: Bacteria; Pseudomonadati; Pseudomonadota; Gammaproteobacteria; Vibrionales; Vibrionaceae.